This 131-nucleotide small RNA is filed under the name Salmonella enterica. RNAcentral describes it as "RtT sRNA". It matches the Rfam family "RtT RNA". Rfam says of the family: This family represents a bacterial cis-regulatory element known as RtT RNA. The exact function of RtT is unknown although it is thought that it may be involved in changing the cellular response in relation to amino acid starvation. The record is from RNAcentral. RNAcentral also lists the same sequence under 8 other names. Lineage: Bacteria; Pseudomonadati; Pseudomonadota; Gammaproteobacteria; Enterobacterales; Enterobacteriaceae.
AUUCUACCCAUGUGGGGAAGGAUGAGAAGCUUCGACUAAGGUUCGAUUCGAGCGCAGCGAGAAAGCGUUGCCGUAGGCAACGACCCGAAGGGCGAAGCGCGCAGCGCUGAGUCAUCCUUCCCCCACCACCA